RNAcentral lists this long non-coding RNA (692 nucleotides) under Rattus norvegicus (Norway rat). Its description in RNAcentral is "long non-coding RNA NONRATT000818". Lineage: Eukaryota; Metazoa; Chordata; Mammalia; Rodentia; Muridae. The record is from RNAcentral.
GCUAUUUAUGGUAACACCUCAGCAUGUGGAGGGAAAUCAGACACUACCUCCAAAUGUCCAUUAGGUGGCAGUGCAGUGCUGUCACUGUAGUUCCUUGGCUCUGUUCACUAAUCUACCCCUGUCCACUAGGGCCAUCCAUCCUUAGCUUCAAUCUGUGUCUUCUGCCUCCCUGUUUGUGUCUGUUAUUGCCGUUUACCCCGUGUCUCCUGGAGACAGUAGCCAGAGAUUGGGCUGCAGCACUGUCUCAGGAGCACUAACCACUUGCCUCUCUCCAGAAAGCCACAGGCAAAGGAGUGACCCACAUCAGAGUCGUAGUGAAAGGCAUUGGACCAGGACGCUGGUCUGCCAUCAAAGGACUGACCAUGGGUGGUCUGGAAGUGAUCUCCAUCACAGACAACACCCCUGUCCCACACAAUGGCUGCCGACCCCGGAAGGCUCGAAGACUGUGAUAGCAAGGAAACCUGGACCUGAACCUGACCUAAAGUCUUGACUCAGGUGGAUCCUACAGAAAGCCCACUGUGGAGGCUGCUGGAGCGGGCUGUUCUCGAGCCUUCCUUGGGAGAACAUUCCUCUCCUUGCACAGAAGCUGGAGGUGCCGAGGCUGGCCUCUUGGACAUGAGGGAGUGGGAACUGCUGGCCACUGUGGCCAGCUCCAGCCUCUGCUCUGAAAAUAAAGGACUGUUCUCUGUAGU